RNAcentral lists this ribosomal RNA (275 nucleotides) under uncultured prokaryote. Its description in RNAcentral is "partial 16S ribosomal RNA". It matches the Rfam family "Bacterial small subunit ribosomal RNA", at positions 524 to 798 of the family's 1533-position model. The record is from RNAcentral.
UACAGAGGGUGCAAGCGUUAAUCGGAAUUACUGGGCGUAAAGCGCGCGUAGGUGGUUCAGUAAGAUGGAAGUGAAAUCCCCGGGCUUAACCUGGGAACUGCUUUCAUAACUGCUGAGCUAGAGUACGGUAGAGGGUAGUGGAAUUUCCUGUGUAGCGGUGAAAUGCGUAGAUAUAGGAAGGAACACCAGUGGCGAAGGCGACUACCUGGACUGAUACUGACACUGAGGUGCGAAAGCGUGGGGAGCAAACAGGAUUAGAUACCCGGGUAGUCCCU